RNAcentral lists this long non-coding RNA (585 nucleotides) under Solanum tuberosum (potato). RNAcentral describes it as "long non-coding RNA (STUB_LNC005469)". Lineage: Eukaryota; Viridiplantae; Streptophyta; Magnoliopsida; Solanales; Solanaceae. The record is from RNAcentral.
ACCUCUUCGCCAUGAUAUCAGACAACAUCCCUCCUCCAGGCCUGGAAAACAAGUUUGCUAAACCAAAACUAGCUGCAAUAAUCCCAGCUGUAUGAAGAUUCACAUUAAACCUAUCGAAAAAAUACUGCGCAAUUAUAUUAUCCACAGUAAGUUCAACACCAAAACAAUAACCAUAAGUCAAUGCCAAAAUCCACCCUCUAUAAUUUGUAACUGCAUGAUAUAACACAUCUCUCAUGUUAUCCUUAUGCUUUUCACCAGAUUUAUGAAGUUUCGCGUAAUCUCCAUCGGGCAUAUCUUGUCCUAAAAAGAAAACAGCAUACGCAGUCAAAGCCUGAAACAGAGCAGGUAUAAAAAACGCAAUUCUCCAAGCUGUAAACUGAUUUGCACCAAUUUUAUGUAUAAGCGAAAACACUAAAGGCAUAAUUAACUGUGUAGCUCCGCCACCAAGAUUCCCCCAUCCUCCGGCUAUACCAUUUGCAGUGCCAACUACGUUAGCAGAGAACAUCGAACUCAUCCAAAAUUGAGUCGAUACAAAAGUAGCUAAUGAAAACCCCGUGAAGAAACGAACGAGAAGGAAAGAUAAUG